UACGUAGGGUGCAAGCGUUGCCCGGAUUUAUUGGGCGUAAAGGGCGCGUAGGCGGCUCUGCACGUUCGUUGUGAAAUCGCCCGGCUCAACUGGGCGGGGUCAGCUGAUACGGGCAGGCUGGAGUUCGGUAGGGGAGACUGGAAUUCCUGGUGUAGCGGUGAAAUGCGCAGAUAUCAGGAGGAACACCGGUGGCGAAGGCGGGUCUCUGGGCCGAUACUGACGCUGAGGAGCGAAAGCGUGGGGAGCGAACAGG
RNAcentral lists this ribosomal RNA (253 nucleotides) under uncultured bacterium. RNAcentral describes it as "partial 16S ribosomal RNA". It matches the Rfam family "Bacterial small subunit ribosomal RNA", at positions 524 to 776 of the family's 1533-position model. The record is from RNAcentral.